Molecule: long non-coding RNA, 686 nt
Organism: Hyla sarda
Lineage: Eukaryota; Metazoa; Chordata; Amphibia; Anura; Hylidae
Exons: 3
Source: RefSeq, a predicted model, not a curated record
GGCAACUGGUUUUGAUGAAUCUCCUGUCACUAAGCCUGGGAAAGGUCCAAGCUAUAGGACUGAAAAGUUACACCUCUUCUGAUCUAAGCUAUAGGACUGAAAAGUUACACCUCUUCUGAUCUAAGCUAUAGGACUGAAAAGUUACACCUCUUCUGAUCUAAGCUAUAGGACUGAAAAGUUACACCUCUUCUGAUCUAAGCUAUAGGACUGAAAAGUUGCACCUCUUCUGAUGUGUGAAUAAAACACCUUUUGGAUUUGAAUCCUGUUUGCAGUGCUGCUUCAUUACCUUCCAUUUUCUGCCAUUACUGGGACCAUGAUUCGGGCCACCUGGAGCUGAGCACCCACCGGGACUAGAAGUCUAGCCACUAGAAGAGCACCCACCUCUUUGCUUUUUGGUUAUUUGAAGUGAUAAGAAAUACGAGUUUUCAAGAACUCACCAGAGCAACACCGAGUAUCUGAGGAAAAGUGUACGAGGAACAACCGGCAGGAGUCAGGCGGAUAGUAGCAUAGGGAGUCUGGAACCAAGCUUUUUCACUUGCCCAUACUAUAUCACAUAGAGACAACUUUCCGAUAAGGUAGGAAUAAUCCAGACCGCUGCAGAAAACACUGCCAACAGCACUGAGCAGGAGAAGCUUACUGUCAUCAGAGGAAGCAUUGCACAAAGCCCGUCGGACCUCUUUCAUAAU